GCCCGCCUAGCUCAAUCGGAUAGAGCGUCAGACUCUUAAGGAGUUGGUGUGGUCCUUUCUAUUAGAUAUCUGAAGGCUGCGAGUUCGACCCUCGCGGUGGGCU
This is a non-coding RNA of Termitomyces sp. T159_Od127, 103 nucleotides long. The record is from the annotation of a GenBank genome assembly. Lineage: Eukaryota; Fungi; Basidiomycota; Agaricomycetes; Agaricales; Lyophyllaceae.